This 77-nucleotide transfer RNA is filed under the name Afipia carboxydohydrogena. RNAcentral describes it as "[Pseudomonas] carboxydohydrogena tRNA-Arg". It matches the Rfam family "tRNA". Rfam says of the family: Transfer RNA (tRNA) molecules are approximately 80 nucleotides in length. RNAcentral also lists the same sequence under 31 other names. The record is from RNAcentral. Lineage: Bacteria; Pseudomonadati; Pseudomonadota; Alphaproteobacteria; Hyphomicrobiales; Nitrobacteraceae.
GCGCUCCUAGCUCAGCUGGAUAGAGCAUCGGAUUUCGAUUCCGAGGGUCGGGAGUUCGAAUCUCUCGGAGCGCGCCA